This 408-nucleotide long non-coding RNA is filed under the name Gossypium raimondii (Peruvian cotton). Its description in RNAcentral is "long non-coding RNA (GRAI_LNC007414)". Lineage: Eukaryota; Viridiplantae; Streptophyta; Magnoliopsida; Malvales; Malvaceae. The record is from RNAcentral.
AAAAAUUCAAACAGUAAAAAUAAAUCCAAACAACUUACAGAAAUUAAAAACUACAGACAAGUGAAAUUCCCACUUACCCAAUUGCACGUAAAACACUGAAAUUCCAGAUUGCAAUGAGAAGACUACAAAGGUGUGAACAGAAAUGAAGGAGAAAGGAAAAAUGAAAAAAAGGUGUAGAGAAGGGAAGGGGAAAAACAUGAGAUAGAGGAGGAAAGCAGAAACUGAAGUUAGAAAGUAUUAGAGAAGAGAGAGAAAAAUUAAAAUAAAAAUUAAAAAUUACUAAAUCCCCACACCAUCCACUAGCAACUUUAUCCCCCAAAAUCCUACCCACUAACCACAUCCAACUACCUCAGAGUUUUAAUUCCACCGAACCUCUAUCAAACAACCGCAACAAAAAUUAACAUCCAC